AAGGCCUUAGCUUAAAUUAAAGUGUCUGGGUUGCAAUCAGAAGAUGUUGAUUAGGUUCUGCAGGUCUUA
This 69-nucleotide transfer RNA is filed under the name Dermophis mexicanus (Mexican burrowing caecilian). RNAcentral describes it as "tRNA-Ala". It matches the Rfam family "tRNA". From Rfam's summary of the family: Transfer RNA (tRNA) molecules are approximately 80 nucleotides in length. Their secondary structure includes four short double-helical elements and three loops (D, anti-codon, and T loops). Lineage: Eukaryota; Metazoa; Chordata; Amphibia; Gymnophiona; Dermophiidae. The record is from RNAcentral.